Molecule: ribosomal RNA, 575 nt
Filed under: Salmonella enterica
Lineage: Bacteria; Pseudomonadati; Pseudomonadota; Gammaproteobacteria; Enterobacterales; Enterobacteriaceae
Description: partial 23S ribosomal RNA
Rfam family: Bacterial large subunit ribosomal RNA
Source: RNAcentral
GGGUUGUGAGGUUAAGCGACUAAGCGUACACGGUGGAUGCCCUGGCAGUCAGAGGCGAUGAAGGACGUGCUAAUCUGCGAUAAGCGCCGGUAAGGUGAUAUGAACCGUUAUAACCGACGAUUUCCGAAUGGGGAAACCCAGUGUGACUCGUCACACUAUCAUUAACUGAAUCCAUAGGUUAAUGAGGCGAACCGGGGGAACUGAAACAUCUAAGUACCCCGAGGAAAAGAAAUCAACCGAGAUUCCCCCAGUAGCGGCGAGCGAACGGGGAGGAGCCCAGAGCCUGAAUCAGCAUGUGUGUUAGUGGAAGCGUCUGGAAAGGCGCGCGAUACAGGGUGACAGCCCCGUACACAAAAGCGCAUGUGCUGUGAGCUCGAUGAGUAGGGCGGGACACGUGGUAUCCUGUCUGAAUAUGGGGGGACCAUCCUCCAAGGCUAAAUACUCCUGACUGACCGAUAGUGAACCAGUACCGUGAGGGAAAGGCGAAAAGAACCCCGGCGAGGGGAGUGAAAAAGAACCUGAAACCGUGUACGUACAAGCAGUGGGAGCACCUUCGGGUGUGACUGCGUACCUUU